AUCGAGCCUCGAUUGAAAAAUCGAGGCUCAAUACCGGAGGGAGCCUGGGGCGAGCGAGGGUAAUCAUGUUCUGGCAUGUUCGUCGUGAACUCAGUACUUUUUUUAAAUUUUAAAAAGAACGCGAGAGGGGGAAAGAAUAUUUUUACGCUGCUAAGGAGGUGGAGGAAAUGAUUGUAAGAACCACCAAUUGCAAAGAUAAGUCUGUCAUCAGUGCAAUGAAGUUACCGAGAGGGAUCCUUUGUUAAUAUCAGCUGUACAGCAUCCGGGAUUCCAGAGCCAGAUGUCACAUGGACCAGAGAAGGAACAGUGAUAAGUUCAAGAAAGGGAACGGCAUUUCUGAUCUUGAACAGUAAAAGAAGAAAGCCGUCUUUUAUAUCAUAAAAUAAGAAAAAAAGGCGCUGAGUGCAUAGUCGAGUUGUAGAAGAACACGGAAUCUUUUCAGGAAACGAGAGAAGUGCUAGAGAAGCACAAGCCGUAGGCGAACACCUCUCGUACUUCUCGAACGUUUUUAAAAGAUACUAAGUGCUUCUGUAACUCAGCAGUGCACGAAGAACAAGUUUUUCACUUCCUCAUGAAAUAGUAACUUAUAAACUCGUUUGUGAACAGAACUUGAUAAAUGAACAUCGAUUCUUUUUUAUAUAUCUUUUGUGCUUGGAGGCAUGUUCAUGUUUAUCUGUACCGAAAGCGAGUGCAUAUCACAGCUGCUGAACAUGCCACCGAGCAUUUCGUUGCGACUGCACAGUCACCAAUAUUCUAAAAACUUCAAACCAACAAAAGAUAAUACUGAGGGUAGAACUUUCUUUUAGGCUAUUGCUUCAGAACAAUUUCAUCACUUUCAAUUUCAACGUCUUCGGUCAGUUCGCUGACGUCUCAGAGGUUGGUUCGCCAACAUAUUAAAAAUGAAUUUUUGAAUAUAUGAAAAUCAUAUAUGUGUAUUACGGUUUCAUGAUAUGUAUGAAAGCGAUUCACGCAGUAAUAAACCUUACUUAUGUAGAAGGGAAAAUAAGGCGUGAAAAAAUUCAGGCCCGUAGGGAUUUGAACCAAUAACCUCUGCGAUACCGGUGCACGAUUUGUUUUUGCCAUCUGGUUAGUUAUUAUAUGAGGAUAGGGCUUUCUGGACUACUCACCGAGCGAAAUAAAGCAAACUUAAUGCAAUUUAUUGAUUGAUAAAGUAAGAUUGUAACUCAAAAGAUUUAAAAGAAGAGUCACUUGUCACAACAAAUGGCUCAUAGGGAUGAAAACAACCAAUGAGUGUAGUAAAACGAAAGGCGCAAUCAAAAGCUUGAUAUCAGGAAAACCUUGUAUAUCUUCUCAGGCUCGGCCAUAUAAUCCCACUAGGUCUGAAAAAUUAUUCAUAGUGAUACUGUACGUUAUCUAUUCAUCACUUUAUGAUUUUUCAAUAGGAUUUCAAAAUGAUACGACAAUCUCGUGUUUUCAUUUACUCUCGGUUAAGAAGCCGAGUCCACCAUCCAUUAUUUCAUCAGAAAAAAGCACUCAAACCAGUUCAUUAACAGUAAGAUAUGCUGCACCUGCCGAUGAUGGAGGGAGUCCUAUCACCGCAUACUGAGUGAUCAUACUUGAAGGUGACACUGAGAUAAACAGUGUUAAUAUUACUGUUCCUGGUGUAACAAGUUACACUUUUGGGGGUCUGGAGAGAGAUAAAAACUACGGAGUGAAAGCGUUUGCAAGGAAUGCUGUGUUUGAAGGAGAUCCUGUUGUAAUCACCAUGAAGAAAAAGUUUCAAGCUCGAGAGGACUUUAAGUGUCAUGACGUCAUUUUUAUAGCCAUACUUGGACUACUUUCGUCAGUACUCCUGUUUUUCAUUUACAUUGUCUGGUUACUUAAGAAAGGCGGUGGUGGAAAAAAGAGGAAGAUAUUGAGUUCGAAGACCUGGAAUUAAGUGGUCCUGAUUCAAAAAACUGCUCAGCGUCCGGGAGAGUACAUGGAUUUAAAAUAAUCAAGCACCGAUGAUUCUCAAACACAAACUGCUGGCCAAGUUGCUGAUUACGCGCCACUUCAUCCAUCAACAUGCUCCUGGGAAGUGUCAAGGGAUCAUGUGACAGUAGAAAACAUGGAUGGCAAGGGGGCUUUCGGCCAGGUUGCAAAGGGAACAGCCAAGGAACUUCGAGGGAGGCCCGGGACGACCAAGAUAGCUAUCAAAAUACUCAAGGGGGUAUUGCUGGUGUUGAUUGAGUAUGUACCUUUUGGAGAUCUGCUGGGUUACCUGAGAAAAAGCCGUGGAUUAAGACACUUACUUCAAAGACCCUGAUAGCAAACCACAGACAAAUCUGACGUCACAGCAGCUUAUGAAGUGUUCUUGGCAAAUCACUGAUGGAAUGAGUUAGUUGUCCACAAAAUCUGUAAGUUUUAACUGCAAAACAAACUACAGAAAAGGUAAUCCAAUCUCGGUGUUCAAUGCAAAUAUCUUAGUUUAUAAUUCAGUAGUUUCAUUUCACUGUAACUUUGGUGUCUUCAGUCUUUCGGUUCAUGGUUUUAAACUCAUUGUGAUAGCACGUGUUUGGCAUGAAUCGACUUAGUUGGACUAUUCCUGAUCUUUACCGAAGCAGGAAAUUAUCUCAGAAAAGAAAUAUUCAUUUGCAAUUAUUUCAAUAUCACCUAAUUUUUCUCUUUUCAUUUAAAUCAUCGCAAUCCUGACUACAUUUUUAGUUGGGUGAAUCCUGUGUAUUUUUCCAUUUUACAACUUCUUAAAUGGUAUUACAGAACAAAGAUUGAUUCACUUGAGAUAGAAAUCAUCAUCUUUGAUUGAUUAUCAUUUCCUGUGAUUAGAACAUCCACCGAGACCUUGCAGCCCGUAAUGCGUUGGUUGGGGAAAAACGAUUAUUAUAGGAUCAACUUAAACCUAUUUAAUAUUUACAAUCAUAAAUUAAAAUAGUAAAACAUUCUAGUCAGUAUACACUUAAAACUUAAAGUAAUGUAAAAUUACGGAAGGCGUGCCUUCGCCCGGUUUUUUAAAUAUUUAAAUAAACACGAUGUAAAAAUAUGCAAGUCGUCACAGAUUUUCAAUUCCUUUGGUAGAUUAUUAAAUAAAACGGCCGAGGUGUCUUGAAAGGUCUCCUUUUCUAAAGGAACCUGCAGUCUAAUACAGUCUGAUGAGCGCAGUUCUCUACGUUUAGGGACUCGUUGUAAGUUCAGAUAUGUUGGCCACUGUUUAAAAUAAAGCGCUUUAAAGGUCAAAUUUAGCAAGUUAAAAUCCCUUCUUUCUUCCGCAAGAAGCCAAUUUACCUUUAAAAUGUCUCCAAUGUUAUUAACAUAUCUACCAUAAACAAAACUUGCGGCAGCAAACUCAAUGUUUUGAAGGCGCUUCAGCAAGUAUCGCGGCAAAGGUUUUAAUUCUACGUUUUUCCUGUCGGAAGAAAAUAUACAUUGUUUUCAGUUGGUUCACCAUAUCCACGGAUGGCUGGCAGGGAAAAUGCAAGAUCACUCCAGCAGGAGUACAGAAUGCCUGGGCCAUGCCUACAGAAUGCCUAAGCCAUGCCUACAGCAUGCCUAAGCCAUGCCCACAGCAUGCCUACACCCCAACAUGUGGAUGAUAAGUUGUAAGCUGUUGAUAGGAUCUCUUUUCGUCGAAAUUGCAAGCAAAGGGCGAGCUUCUGUCAACCAUGACUUGUCUUUUCCCCAUUCAAAGGAGUAUUUCGCUUAAUGAUAGUUACAGCCGCAUCUAAUAUCAAAGCUAAAAGUUUCUUUAGAAGAAAACAUUGAUUUCUUAGUAUGUUUGUUUGUUUGUUUGAAUGUUUGUUAAACGUUUUCCAAUUCAUAAAUACCAGGUACCAGAUAAUGAUGAGAUGCUGGCAAAAUGACCCGGAUGGUAGACCGACAUUUACCGAAAUGAGGAACCAGCUUAAGGACAUGGAAACCCUACACAAGAGGCUGAUCAACAUGGAAAUGUAUGACAAGUAUUUGUAUGCAAACUCUGGUGAUUGCUCAUCUCAGCUGAUUGGGAGUGAAAUUCCUGAUGAAGCUACACUACCAUUGAAGUUGAACGAAUUUCUUGGCGGCCUAACGGCUCAUCUUCGCCCAUUAAAGCCUCUUUUACCGGUAUUUGGACCGGUGCCUGUGCACCUGUAUGCGUGCAUAACAUUCCUCGAGCGAAGUCACUCUUCUUCCGACCUAUUACGAAAGUUAGUGCCGCGUUGUUCAUUCACAAGACCAUAUGCCCUUAGGACAGGAGAGAUUGUGUCUGUACCUGCCUCUCCAAGAUCUAAAGGAUUCGGAAAUUAUGCGCCAUCAAAUACCAGAACCACGUUUAAAAUACCGAAUUACGAUUCGUCUUAAUACUCAUAGUAUUUAAUAUUUACAUAGUAUUCAAUAUUUACAUUUAAUUGAUAUCUAUAAUGGCUAUAUUUAGGUGUAAAGUAAGAAGUAUUUGUAAUUAGUGACCCGUCUUGUAAUUCAGUGUAUGCUGCAAAAAAGUUGAAUAAACGAUCAUUAUUAUUAUUAUUAUUAUUAUUAUUAUUAUUAUUAUUAUUAAACGUUGAUGACCUAAACGUGUAGACAAAAUGGAAUUCGCGAAUUUCUCGCACAUUUUCGUACGCAGUAUCUUAAUCUUAAUUAAUCAUGCAUAAUAUCUCACUCGCAAUUAUCUUGCAACACAAGCUUGUUUGAAAAAGACUGGAAUUCACUCAAAUGAAUCCAUCAGACAAAAGUGCGCAAAAUCGCAUUCAGAUCAUAAACCAUCCUGGUGAUAACAAAG
Unclassified non-coding RNA from Stylophora pistillata, 4711 nucleotides. The record is from RefSeq and is a predicted model, not a curated record. NCBI's taxonomy places the organism in Eukaryota, Metazoa, Cnidaria, Anthozoa, Scleractinia, Pocilloporidae.